GGUCCUAUAGUCUAGUGGUUAGGACGUUGGAUUUUGAUCACCACUCAAACCCUUCCGAAGUCCCCGGUUCGAACCCGGGUAGGACCU
Molecule: non-coding RNA, 87 nt
Organism: Fusarium redolens
Lineage: Eukaryota; Fungi; Ascomycota; Sordariomycetes; Hypocreales; Nectriaceae
Source: the annotation of a RefSeq genome assembly